GCCACAGUGGCAUAGUUGUUUGGGUGUUGGACUGUGACUCUGGAGACCAGGGUUUGAUUCCCAGCUCAGCCG
This 72-nucleotide transfer RNA is filed under the name Phrynosoma platyrhinos (Desert horned lizard). Its description in RNAcentral is "tRNA-OTHER". Lineage: Eukaryota; Metazoa; Chordata; Lepidosauria; Squamata; Phrynosomatidae. The record is from RNAcentral.